Molecule: ribosomal RNA, 495 nt
Filed under: uncultured bacterium
Lineage: Bacteria
Description: partial 16S ribosomal RNA
Rfam family: Bacterial small subunit ribosomal RNA
Source: RNAcentral
GAUGAACGCUAGCGGGAGGCCUAACACAUGCAAGCUGAGCGGUAGAGUUUCUUCGGAGACUUGAGAGCGGCGUACGGGUGCGGAACACGUGUGCAACCUGCCUUUAUCAGGGGGAUAGCCUUUCGAAAGGAAGAUUAAUACCCCAUAAUAUAUAGAGUGGCAUCACUUUAUAUUGAAAACUGAGGUGGAUAAAGAUGGGCACGCGCAAGAUUAGAUAGUUGGUGAGGUAACGGCUCACCAAGUCGAUGAUCUUUAGGGGGCCUGAGAGGGUGAUCCCCCACACUGGUACUGAGACACGGACCAGACUCCUACGGGAGGCAGCAGUGAGGAAUAUUGGACAAUGGGUUAGCGCCUGAUCCAGCCAUCCCCCGUGAAGGACGACGGCCCUAUGGGUUGUAAACUUCUUUUGUACAGGGAUAAACCUAUUUACGUGUAAAUAGCUGAAGGUACUGUACGAAUAAGCACCGGCUAACUCCGUGCCAGCCGCCGCAGUAA